RNAcentral lists this ribosomal RNA (354 nucleotides) under uncultured cyanobacterium. Its description in RNAcentral is "bacterial SSU rRNA". It matches the Rfam family "Bacterial small subunit ribosomal RNA", at positions 427 to 795 of the family's 1533-position model. Lineage: Bacteria; Bacillati; Cyanobacteriota. The record is from RNAcentral.
AAACCCCUUUUCUCAGGGAAGAAGAAAGUGACGGUACCUGAGGAAUCAGCCUCGGCUAACUCCGUGCCAGCAGCCGCGGUAAUACGGAGGAGGCAAGCGUUAUCCGGAAUGAUUGGGCGUAAAGCGUUCGUAGGUGGCAAUUCAAGUCUGCUGUCAAAGACAGUAGCUCAACUACUGCAAGGCAGUGGAAACUGAAUAGCUAGAGUGCGGUAGGGGCAGAGGGAAUUCCCGGUGUAGCGGUGAAAUGCGUAGAGAUCGGGAAGAACACCGGUGGCGAAAGCGCUCUGCUGGGCCGCAACUGACACUGAGGGACGAAAGCUAGGGGAGCGAAUGGGAUUAGAUACCCCAGUAGUC